RNAcentral lists this transfer RNA (128 nucleotides) under Friedmanniomyces endolithicus. RNAcentral describes it as "tRNA-Leu". Lineage: Eukaryota; Fungi; Ascomycota; Dothideomycetes; Mycosphaerellales; Teratosphaeriaceae. RNAcentral also lists the same sequence under 1 other name. The record is from RNAcentral.
GUUAGAUGGCCGAGUGGUUAUGGCGUGUGACUCAAGCUUCCAGCUUAAUCGACUGUGUCGAUUAGUAUUCUCAUGGGCUUUGCCCGCGGGGGUUCGAAGUGAGCAAUUCACAUAACACCUGUGAAACG